RNAcentral lists this ribosomal RNA (430 nucleotides) under Streptomyces sp. 4BA2. RNAcentral describes it as "bacterial SSU rRNA". It matches the Rfam family "Bacterial small subunit ribosomal RNA", at positions 19 to 455 of the family's 1533-position model. The record is from RNAcentral. Lineage: Bacteria; Bacillati; Actinomycetota; Actinomycetes; Kitasatosporales; Streptomycetaceae.
CUGGCUCAGGACGAACGCUGGCGGCGUGCUUAACACAUGCAAGUCGAACGAUGAAGCCNUUCGGGGUGGAUUAGUGGCGAACGGGUGAGUAACACGUGGGCAAUCUGCCCUUCACUCUGGGACAAGCCCUGGAAACGGGGUCUAAUACCGGAUAACACUCUGUCCCGCAUGGGACGGGGUUAAAAGCUCCGGCGGUGAAGGAUGAGCCCGCGGCCUAUCAGCUUGUUGGUGGGGUGAUGGCCUACCAAGGCGACGACGGGUAGCCGGCCUGAGAGGGCGACCGGCCACACUGGGACUGAGACACGGCCCAGACUCCUACGGGAGGCAGCAGUGGGGAAUAUUGCACAAUGGGCGAAAGCCUGAUGCAGCGACGCCGCGUGAGGGAUGACGGCCUUCGGGUUGUAAACCUCUUCAGCAGGAAGAAGCAAAG